This 191-nucleotide small RNA is filed under the name Streptomyces sp. RNAcentral's name for it is "c-di-AMP sequence". It matches the Rfam family "c-di-AMP riboswitch aptamer (ydaO/yuaA leader)". Rfam says of the family: This family represents a conserved RNA structure found upstream of the ydaO and yuaA genes in Bacillus subtilis and related genes in other bacteria. The ydaO/yuaA element is thought to act as a genetic "off" switch for the ydaO and yuaA genes in its native state. It is believed that the element may be triggered during osmotic shock leading to activation of ydaO, a predicted amino acid transporter gene, and members of the yuaA-yubG operon which code for KtrA and KtrB K+ transporters. The record is from RNAcentral. Lineage: Bacteria; Bacillati; Actinomycetota; Actinomycetes; Kitasatosporales; Streptomycetaceae.
CCGGAUGGAACGCCUAAUCCUGCCGCCGUCCGGAAUUCCGCACCCACUCACCGUGUGGCAGGAGCGGGGGACCCAGGUAAGCCGCCGACCGGAGUGAUCCGGCCGGCUCGGGGUGAAGUCGCGCCAGGCGCGGCCGGGCAUCUCCAGCCCGAACCCGACAGCUCACCUCGUAGGCGCCGGAGAGGAAAUUC